GGGGCAUUAGCUUAAUGGAUAGAGUAGCAGCUUCCGACGCUGUUGAUCCGGGUUCGAUUCCCGGAUGCCUCACCA
This 75-nucleotide transfer RNA is filed under the name Clostridiales bacterium. RNAcentral describes it as "tRNA-Arg". It matches the Rfam family "tRNA". From Rfam's summary of the family: Transfer RNA (tRNA) molecules are approximately 80 nucleotides in length. Their secondary structure includes four short double-helical elements and three loops (D, anti-codon, and T loops). Further hydrogen bonds mediate the characteristic L-shaped molecular structure. tRNAs have two regions of fundamental functional importance: the anti-codon, which is responsible for specific mRNA codon recognition, and the 3' end, to which the tRNAs corresponding amino acid is attached (by aminoacyl-tRNA synthetases). tRNAs cope with the degeneracy of the genetic code in two manners: having more than one tRNA (with a specific anti-codon) for a particular amino acid; and 'wobble' base-pairing, i.e. permitting non-standard base-pairing at the 3rd anti-codon position. The record is from RNAcentral. Lineage: Bacteria; Bacillati; Bacillota; Clostridia; Eubacteriales.